Molecule: ribosomal RNA, 631 nt
Filed under: Staphylococcus aureus
Lineage: Bacteria; Bacillati; Bacillota; Bacilli; Caryophanales; Staphylococcaceae
Description: bacterial SSU rRNA
Rfam family: Bacterial small subunit ribosomal RNA
Source: RNAcentral
UUUUAUGGAGAGUUUGAUCCUGGCUCAGGAUGAACGCUGGCGGCGUGCCUAAUACAUGCAAGUCGAGCGAACGGACGAGAAGCUUGCUUCUCUGAUGUUAGCGGCGGACGGGUGAGUAACACGUGGAUAACCUACCUAUAAGACUGGGAUAACUUCGGGAAACCGGAGCUAAUACCGGAUAAUAUUUUGAACCGCAUGGUUCAAAAGUAAAAGACGGUCUUGCUGUCACUUAUAGAUGGAUCCGCGCUGCAUUAGCUAGUUGGUAAGGUAACGGCUUACCAAGGCAACGAUGCAUAGCCGACCUGAGAGGGUGAUCGGCCACACUGGAACUGAGACACGGUCCAGACUCCUACGGGAGGCAGCAGUAGGGAAUCUUCCGCAAUGGGCGAAAGCCUGACGGAGCAACGCCGCGUGAGUGAUGAAGGUCUUCGGAUCGUAAAACUCUGUUAUUAGGGAAGAACAUAUGUGUAAGUAACUGUGCACAUCUUGACGGUACCUAAUCAGAAAGCCACGGCUAACUACGUGCCAGCAGCCGCGGUAAUACGUAGGUGGCAAGCGUUAUCCGGAAUUAUUGGGCGUAAAGCGCGCGUAGGCGGUUUUUUAAGUCUGAUGUGAAAGCCCACGGCUCAAC